RNAcentral lists this long non-coding RNA (774 nucleotides) under Malus domestica (apple). Its description in RNAcentral is "long non-coding RNA (MDOM_LNC002209)". Lineage: Eukaryota; Viridiplantae; Streptophyta; Magnoliopsida; Rosales; Rosaceae. The record is from RNAcentral.
CGAAGCACAGAGGUUGACACACCGGAACUUUCCAAUUAUCCAGCAGGGGUACUGUUUCUUUACCCUUGUGGGUAAUAAUAUGGUAGCUAGACCUUCAAAAUUUAUGUGUCUAAACUUUGUUAGUGUUGUUUCUUUGCUAAUCUUUUACCCUUCUUGGUCAGAGUGAUGUAGUGGGAGCUGCAAGCUUCACGUGUCUCAACUUUGUCAGAGAACUUUGUCAGAGAACUUUGGCAGAGUUAUAUGUGGUACCCAUGAGCUACUGUUACGUGUGGGAAGUGGGUGAUUGAACAGUACGAUUCAUGUGAUUUCUACUUCGCCAGAAAUCUUCGACAGAAUGCCCAUAAUUUCCGCAAAGCUGAGUGUGCGUGUGACAAGUGCUGACAGGGCUGGAAAAGUAGGUGCCUCUUCGAUUUCUGAGAUCGGCCCUCGUGGUCUCUGAGCAGCCCAGCUUUUGAGAAAGCAAGCCUCUUCGAUUUCUGAGAUCGGCCUUCGUGGUCUUUGAGCAGCCCAGCUUUUGAGAAAGCACACGACUCUUCGAUUUCUGAGAUCGACCCUCGUGGUCUCUGAGCAACCUAGCUUUUGAGAAAGUAAACGCCUCUUCGAUUUCUGAGCAGGCGCCUCUUCGAUUUCUGAAGCUUCAUCGAGUGCAGAUUUUUAUAGGGGCUGACAUUAAGUUCCAAAGCACACUUGAAUAUCCACCAAUAGAAGCUCCAUUCUUGCACUUCUAAGAUCUUGAUUUGUCCGACCUCUUCUCUCUUCAACACCUUUGAAAAU